This 75-nucleotide transfer RNA is filed under the name bacterium. Its description in RNAcentral is "tRNA-Met". It matches the Rfam family "tRNA". From Rfam's summary of the family: Transfer RNA (tRNA) molecules are approximately 80 nucleotides in length. Their secondary structure includes four short double-helical elements and three loops (D, anti-codon, and T loops). The record is from RNAcentral. RNAcentral also lists the same sequence under 3 other names.
CGCGGGGUGGAGCAAUGGUAGCUCGUUGGGCUCAUAACCCAAAGGUUGCUGGUUCAAAUCCAGCCCCCGCAACCA